AAAGGAACUAAGGGCGCACAGUGGAUGCCUUGGCACUAAGAGCCGAUGAAGGACGCAAUUAACGGCGAUACGCCACGGGGAGCUGUAAAUAAGUGGAGAUCCGUGGAUUUCCGAAUGGGACAACCCGUUGCAUUGAAGAUGCAUCAUCCUUGAAAAAGGAAGGAAACGCAGUGAACUGAAAUAUCUAAGUAACUGUAGGAAAAGAAAGUAAUAACGAUUCUGGUAGUAGUGACGAGCGAACCCGGAAGAGCCUGAUGCUAUUUCUAGUUACCAAGUUUUUGUCAAGUAGAAGCUUUUGGAAAGAAGCACCAUAGAAGGUGACAGUCCUGUAAACGUAAGCAAAGACCUAGAGCAUCGAUAAGU
This 363-nucleotide ribosomal RNA is filed under the name Candidatus Phytoplasma solani. Its description in RNAcentral is "bacterial LSU rRNA". It matches the Rfam family "Bacterial large subunit ribosomal RNA", at positions 1 to 413 of the family's 2925-position model. Lineage: Bacteria; Bacillati; Mycoplasmatota; Mollicutes; Acholeplasmatales; Acholeplasmataceae. The record is from RNAcentral.